ACUGCCGAAUUUAUUUUUUCAUUCACUAAGUAACGAGCGUACACUGCCAUCUAUACUUUUUGUAGCAAACUAUGUAGUUAGGCUACGUUAUUGUAUCAAGAGAAUAAGUAAAUAAUGCCGCAAUAUUUCGCUAGAUGUCACUUUAAUCAACUGUGUCUCCAUCCCCUCUUUUGGAUAGUAAGGUAUCGUAGGACUGUCUACCGGAAUUUUUUUUUGGAUACUAUGCUAUCGUAGGACUGUCAAGUGGCUAACGAGGAAACUACAACGCAAAAAAUGCGUUUAUCACUGCUUCCAGUA
This is a long non-coding RNA of Leguminivora glycinivorella, 297 nucleotides long. RefSeq lists it as uncharacterized. The record is from RefSeq and is a predicted model, not a curated record. Lineage: Eukaryota; Metazoa; Arthropoda; Insecta; Lepidoptera; Tortricidae. The transcript has 3 exons.